Molecule: ribosomal RNA, 421 nt
Filed under: uncultured bacterium
Lineage: Bacteria
Description: bacterial SSU rRNA
Rfam family: Bacterial small subunit ribosomal RNA
Source: RNAcentral
CAGGGCUUGAAAUGAGUAGGACAGUCUGUGAAAGCAGAUCUCCCUUCGGGGUCUAUUUAUAGGUGUUGCAUGGUUGUCGUCAGCUCGGGCCGUGAGGUGUUGGGUUAAGUCCCGCAACGAGCGCAACCCUUGUUUAUAGUUGCCAUCAUUUAGUUGGGCACUCUAUAGAGACUGCCAGCGUUAAGCUGGAGGAAGGUGGGGAUGACGUCAAAUCAUCACGGCCCUUAUGUCCUGGGCUACACACAUGCUACAAUGGGUAGUACAAAGGGUUACGAAGCAGUGAUGUGGAGUUAAUCUCAAAAAGCUAUCCUCAGUUCGGAUUGUAGGCUGAAACCCGCCUACAUGAAGUUGGAAUCGCUAGUAAUCGCAGGUCAGCCAUAGUGCGGUGAAUACGUUCUCGGUCCUUGUACACACCGCCCGU